RNAcentral lists this ribosomal RNA (363 nucleotides) under uncultured bacterium. Its description in RNAcentral is "bacterial SSU rRNA". It matches the Rfam family "Bacterial small subunit ribosomal RNA", at positions 28 to 393 of the family's 1533-position model. The record is from RNAcentral.
GACGAACGCUGGCGGCGUGCUUAACACAUGCAAGUCGAGCGGUAAGGCCCUUUCGGGGGUACACGAGCGGCGAACGGGUGAGUAACACGUGGGUGACCUGCCCUCAGCUCUGGGAUAAGCCUGGGAAACCGGGUCUAAUACUGGAUAUGACUCCAUGACGCAUGUUGUGGGGUGGAAAGCCUUGUGCGGCUGAGGAUGGGCCCGCGGCCUAUCAGCUUGUUGGUGGGGUGANGGCCUACCAAGGCGACGACGGGUAGCCGGCCUGAGAGGCGACCGGCCACACUGGGACUGAGACACGGCCCAGACUCCUACGGGAGGCAGCAGUGGGGAAUCUUGCGCAAUGGGCGAAAGCCUGACGCAGCG